UACGGGGGGGGCAAGCGUUGUUCGGAAUUACUGGGCGUAAAGGGCUCGUAGGCGGCCAACUAAGUCAGACGUGAAAUCCCCAGGCUCAACCUGGGAACUGCGUCUGAUACUGGAUGGCUUGAAUUCGGGAGAGGGAUGCGGAAUUCCAGGUGUAGCGGUGAAAUGCGUAGAUAUGUGGAGGAACACCGAUGGCGAAGGCAGCCCCCUGGGUCAAGAUUGACGCUCAUGCACGAAAGCGUGGGGAGCAAACAGG
RNAcentral lists this ribosomal RNA (253 nucleotides) under uncultured prokaryote. Its description in RNAcentral is "partial 16S ribosomal RNA". It matches the Rfam family "Bacterial small subunit ribosomal RNA", at positions 524 to 776 of the family's 1533-position model. The record is from RNAcentral.